GGGGAAGUAGUUCAGCGGUAGAACAGGCUCGCAACGCCUAGUCGGUGGUUCGAAUCCAUCCUUCUCCA
RNAcentral lists this transfer RNA (68 nucleotides) under Sphingobacteriales bacterium 50-39. RNAcentral describes it as "tRNA-Cys". It matches the Rfam family "tRNA". Rfam says of the family: Transfer RNA (tRNA) molecules are approximately 80 nucleotides in length. Their secondary structure includes four short double-helical elements and three loops (D, anti-codon, and T loops). The record is from RNAcentral. RNAcentral also lists the same sequence under 1 other name. Lineage: Bacteria; Pseudomonadati; Bacteroidota; Sphingobacteriia; Sphingobacteriales.